RNAcentral lists this unclassified non-coding RNA (605 nucleotides) under Vismia macrophylla. RNAcentral's name for it is "sequence contains ITS1, 5.8S rRNA gene, ITS2". The stretch from base 231 to 386 matches the Rfam family "5.8S ribosomal RNA". The record is from RNAcentral. Lineage: Eukaryota; Viridiplantae; Streptophyta; Magnoliopsida; Malpighiales; Hypericaceae.
UCGAUACCUGCCCGGCAGAACGACCCGCGAACCAGUUCGUAAACCGUCGGAUUCCGCGGGCUCGUCCCCGYGGUCUCCGCAUCCCGACGGCGGCCGCGCGCGUCCCACCGCGCCCGGCCGCCGACGGCGAAACAGACCAACCCCGGCGCGGAACGCGCCAAGGAACAUUYRAAGAGGAGGAGGAGGAUCCCGGACGACCGUGCGGCUAUCCUCCUCCCUGCAACAACAACGACUCUCGGCAACGGAUAUCUAGGCUCUUGCAUCGAUGAAGAACGUAGCGAAAUGCGAUACUUGGUGUGAAUUGCAGAAUCCCGUGAACCAUCGAGUCUUUGAACGCAAGUUGCGCCCGAAGCCUUCUGGCCGAGGGCACGUCUGCCUGGGCGUCACACAUCGUCGUCCCAAACCCCAUUCCCCUCGGGGCAUCGGGCGCGGGCGGACAAUGGCCUCCCGUGCGCUCCCGCUCGCGGCUGGCCCAAAGCGGAGUCCCCGACGGAGGCGGACCACGACCRGCGGUGGUUGAAAGACCCUCGGCGAGAGUCGUGCGUGCCCCCCCUCGGGACCAACCGACCCCGGAGGUGCUCCGGCCGAUCCCGAGCACUCGCGAA